CAGUCGCCACGGUAAUACGGAGGAUCCAAGCGUUAUCCGGAAUCAUUGGGUUUAAAGGGUCCGUAGGCGGUCUUGUAAGUCAGUGGUGAAAGCCCAUCGCUCAACGGUGGAACGGCCAUUGAUACUGCAGGACUUGAAUUAUUGGGAAGUAACUAGAAUAUGUAGUGUAGCGGUGAAAUGCUUAGAGAUUACAUGGAAUACCAAUUGCGAAGGCAGGUUACUACAAAUUGAUUGACGCUGAUGGACGAAAGCGUGGGUAGCGAACAGGAUUAGAGACCCCUGUAGUCCCUGUCUCUUAUAC
RNAcentral lists this ribosomal RNA (301 nucleotides) under uncultured bacterium. RNAcentral's name for it is "partial 16S ribosomal RNA". It matches the Rfam family "Bacterial small subunit ribosomal RNA", at positions 509 to 807 of the family's 1533-position model. The record is from RNAcentral.